Molecule: long non-coding RNA, 217 nt
Filed under: Mytilus galloprovincialis (Mediterranean mussel)
Lineage: Eukaryota; Metazoa; Mollusca; Bivalvia; Mytilida; Mytilidae
Source: RNAcentral
ACCUUCCUUUUAUGGUCAUAAACCUUGUGUUUAAAUUUCAUAGAUUUCUAUUUACUUAUACUAACGUUAUGGUGCGAAAACCAAGAAAAAUGCUUAUUUGGGUCCCUUUUUGGCCCCUAAUUCCUAAACUGUUGGGACCUAAACUCCCAAAAUCAAUACCAACCUUCCUUUUGUAGUCAUUAACAUUGUGUUUAAAUUUCAUUGAUUUCUAUUUACU